AUAAUUGAAAAUUUCUUUAGGUAGCUAGCAAAAGCAAUCAUAUAUAUGAAGAAAUGGAGUGUUGAUUCGCUUAAUCCUUGGAGGGAUUUUAGACAGUGAAAUCCAUCCAUACACAUCCAAACUAUCAACAAAGAUAAGACACUGUAGAUAGGAGGUGCUUUUCAUUUUUUGUGAGGAUGCAGUUGAUGUGAGACAAAAUGACUAGAAGAUCUCUGCAAUACAAAGAAUCCUGUCUGGCUGGGUUCAUCUUUAUCUAUAUCCCAUAAUAGAAGUAAUGCAUUACAUCUUAAGAAUACAUCUGUCUCUGAACUACCCUGAAAAAUCAAACUUAAUGAAGCCCCAAACAAUAUGGAACAUGAAGCCGUGCAUAACAGAUAGAAUGGCUAUUCUGGGCAGGUAGCAGUUUGUUGUAUCUAAAUUGCUGUGCUCUGUAAGGGAAGAUAAUUAUUAAGUCCAACCCAAUAGUUGUGCAAGGCAGGCAUUUGCUACAGCAAAGGCCAACAAAUUCCACCAUGUUUAUUUCAGGAAGGUAGAAUUGGGACUAGUUCCUUAUUUAUUAAUAAAUUACUUGGGAGAUCUACAAGCUCUUUUACUAGAAUAUUCAUAGUAGAGAUUUGGAUAUUUAAUCCUUAUCUAUACACAAUUACAUUUUUAAUUUGUGUUCUUUAUGUGCUAGAGAAGUGUGCUUUGCAUUAUAAAUCUAAAAUAUAACUACUAUCAGAAACCUCUUAUUCCCAUUACAUUUUAGUCUCAGUAACUGGUCAUAAUUUGAAAAUUUGAGAAAAACCAAGAUUGUUGCAAAAUGCAUUUCCUAUUUAGUUUGAUAAGAUGAAAAUUUCUAUCAUUGCACUCACAACUCAACUUAGUACAAAUAAAGUUCUCGCUCUUCCCCCACUAAAUAUACUAUAUUACAAUACCCUAACAAAUAAGAGUAACUCCUCUUUUGUGCUUGGCAGACUGGGGUGCAGCUGACGAAGACGCAGAAGAUGUGAACGUGUGGGAGGACAACUGGGACGAUGACAACAUUGAAGAUGACUUCUCCCAGCAGCUGAGAGCUGAGCUGAACAUCCAGCCAAUGCAGCAGUAGUCCUCUGUACGUGUGCUGUAUGAAAGGAGAUGUGUUUUUGUGUGUGAUCUUCAGUUAGGAUUUCUAAUCAUUUGUCAAGAUUGCUAAAGGUGUAUUAUCUAUGAAUAAAUGUUUUUGUAGAUA
This 1210-nucleotide long non-coding RNA is filed under the name Penaeus japonicus. RNAcentral's name for it is "uncharacterized LOC122250435". The record is from RNAcentral. Lineage: Eukaryota; Metazoa; Arthropoda; Malacostraca; Decapoda; Penaeidae.